RNAcentral lists this ribosomal RNA (1019 nucleotides) under gut metagenome. RNAcentral describes it as "bacterial SSU rRNA". It matches the Rfam family "Bacterial small subunit ribosomal RNA", at positions 492 to 1520 of the family's 1533-position model. The record is from RNAcentral.
AUCGGCUAACUCCGUGCCAGCAGCCGCGGUAAUACGGAGGAUGCGAGCGUUAUCCGGAUUUAUUGGGUUUAAAGGGUGCGCAGGCGGUCUGUUAAGUCAGCGGUCAAAGCCCGGGGCUCAACCCCGGCCCGCCGUUGAAACUGGCAGUCUCGAGUUGGAGAGAAGUAUGCGGAAUGCGCGGUGUAGCGGUGAAAUGCAUAGAUAUCGCGCAGAACUCCGAUUGCGAAGGCAGCAUGCCGGCUCCACACUGACGCUGAGGCACGAAAGCGUGGGUAUCGAACAGGAUUAGAUACCCUGGUAGUCCACGCAGUAAACGAUGAAUGCUGGCUGUCCGGGGGGACUGACCCCUGGGUGGCGAAGCGAAAGCGAUAAGCAUUCCACCUGGGGAGUACGCCGGCAACGGUGAAACUCAAAGGAAUUGACGGGGGCCCGCACAAGCGGAGGAACAUGUGGUUUAAUUCGAUGAUACGCGAGGAACCUUACCCGGGCUCAAACGGGGAGUGACUCAGGCAGAGACGCCUGUUUCCCACGGGACACUCCCCGAGGUGCUGCAUGGUUGUCGUCAGCUCGUGCCGUGAGGUGUCGGCUUAAGUGCCAUAACGAGCGCAACCCCCGCGUGCAGUUGCUAACAGAUAACGCUGAGGACUCUGCACGGACUGCCGGCGCAAGCCGCGAGGAAGGCGGGGAUGACGUCAAAUCAGCACGGCCCUUACGUCCGGGGCGACACACGUGUUACAAUGGGUGGUACAGCGGGAAGCCAGGCGGCGACGCCGAGCGGAACCCGAAAUCCACUCUCAGUUCGGAUCGGAGUCUGCAACCCGACUCCGUGAAGCUGGAUUCGCUAGUAAUCGCGCAUCAGCCAUGGCGCGGUGAAUACGUUCCCGGGCCUUGUACACACCGCCCGUCAAGCCAUGGGAGCCGAGGGCGCUUGAAGUGCGUCGCCGCGAGGCGCGCCCUAGAGCGAAAUCGGUGACUGGGGCUAAGUCGUAACAAGGUAGCCGUACCGGAAGGUGCGGCUG